RNAcentral lists this ribosomal RNA (425 nucleotides) under uncultured bacterium. RNAcentral's name for it is "partial 16S ribosomal RNA". It matches the Rfam family "Bacterial small subunit ribosomal RNA", at positions 354 to 796 of the family's 1533-position model. The record is from RNAcentral.
GUGGGGAAUCUUGCGCAAUGGGCGAAAGCCUGACGCAGCCAUGCCGCGUGAAUGAUGAAGGUCUUAGGAUUGUAAAAUUCUUUCACCGGGGACGAUAAUGACGGUACCCGGAGAAGAAGCCCCGGCUAACUUCGUGCCAGCAGCCGCGGUAAUACGAAGGGGGAUAGCGUUGCUCGGAAUUACUGGGCGUAAAGGGCGCGUAGGCGGACAGUUUAGUCAGAGGUGAAAGCCCAGGGCUCAACCUUGGAAUUGCCUUUGAUACUGGCUGUCUUGAGUACGGGAGAGGUGAGUGGAACUCCGAGUGUAGAGGUGAAAUUCGUAGAUAUUCGGAAGAACACCAGUGGCGAAGGCGACUCACUGGCCCGUUACUGACGCUGAGGCGCGAAAGCGUGGGGAGCAAACAGGAUUAGAAACCCUGGUAGUCC